AUGCUGUCAUGUUAUUGCAGAGCAGGAGGGGGUCAAAGCAGAAGAAGCGCGAUGCAGUGCUUCCGGUUCGCGAGCUGGGACAAGGAGCGGGACAAGGAGGAGCUGCAGGUGCCUGCACGGUCUCAGUCGGCGCGUUCCAACAGCAGCAUCUCCACGGACCAUGACGCACGGCGGUCGGGCUCAGAGUGCUGCUCGCUCACCGUCUCGUCCGAGAUCAGCGUCGAGUCCUUUGGCCGGUACCGGCAGCUGUCGCUGCCGCAGCGGCCCAACAAUGACCUCCGCAUCUUCACCUUCCAGGAGCUCAAGAGCGCCACCCGGAGCUUCAGCCGUGCACUCAUGAUCGGCGAGGGCGGUUUUGGCUGCGUCUACCGCGGCACCAUCCGGAGCACCCUCGAGCCGCGCCGAAGCCUCGAUGUCGCCAUCAAGCAGCUCGGACGCAAAGGCCUCCAGGGACAUAAGGAAUGGGUGACCGAGGUGAACUUUCUUGGGGUGGUGGGUCAUCCCAACCUGGUGAAGCUCAUCGGCUACUGCGCAGAGGACGACGAGAGGGGGAUUCAGUUGCUGCUCGUCUACGAAUUCAUGCCUCACGGAAGCCUAGCUGAUCACCUGUCAACAAGAUCACCAAAGCCCGCUUCAUGGGCAAUGAGGCUGAGAGUAGCACUCGACACUGCUCGUGGUCUCAAGUACCUGCACGAAGAUUCUGAAUUCAAGAUAAUAUUCCGUGAUCUGAAGCCUUCAAACAUCCUGCUCGACGAGAACUGGAACGCAAAACUGUCGGACUUCGGCUUGGCUAGACUGGGGCCGCAAGAGGGAAGCCAUGUUUCAACAGCGGUGGUGGGUACUAUAGGGUAUGCAGCUCCUGAGUAUAUCCAUACAGGACGCCUCAGCAGUAAGAAUGACAUAUGGAGCUAUGGAGUGGUUCUCUACGAGCUCCUCACAGGCCGGAGGCCUCUGGACCGGAACAGACCGAGGGGUGAACAGAACCUUGUGGAAUGGGUGAAGCCCUACUCCUCCGACACCAAGAAGUUUGAAACCAUAAUGGAUCCAAGGCUCGAAGGGAACUACAGCAUGAAAUCGGCAGUCAGGAUUGCCUCGCUGGCAAACAAGUGCCUGGUGCGCCAUGCAAGGUAUAGACCUAAGAUGAGCGAGGUGCUGGAGAUGGUGCAGAAGAUUGUCGAUAGCAGUGACCUUGGAACACCAGAGCAUCCCCUGAUAAGCCAUUCAAAAGAAUUGGCUAGUGAUGAGAAAAAAAGGAAAGGCCUUGAUCUGAAGAGGAGGAUCGCUGGUAUUAAAGCUGGAGAUGGUAGAUGGCUUACAUGGCACAAGUGGACACCCAAGCUUGUGAGAACACAAUGA
This 1356-nucleotide ribosomal RNA is filed under the name Triticum aestivum (bread wheat). Its description in RNAcentral is "partial small subunit ribosomal RNA". The record is from RNAcentral. Lineage: Eukaryota; Viridiplantae; Streptophyta; Magnoliopsida; Poales; Poaceae.